This 360-nucleotide long non-coding RNA is filed under the name Aedes aegypti (yellow fever mosquito). Its description in RNAcentral is "lncRNA AAEL021428". The record is from RNAcentral. Lineage: Eukaryota; Metazoa; Arthropoda; Insecta; Diptera; Culicidae.
CUGUCAACAAGCGUACCGAUACCGAUAACUUGAGCGGCACGUACGCUGGUGUGUUACACACUACCAAAACGAUACAACACACAACACGUAGAACAACAGAAAGAGAUAACACACAAUAGUAUUAUAGCUAUAACGACACACACAUGAAAUUGAUAUCUGGCGCGAAAGUGACGGUAGUGAAUUAUCGUAGGAGGUAAACUAAAAUUCAACCGGUAGAUUUAAAAACGAGCGUAAAAGAAGGGAACUCGAAACACUUAUGGUCCGACGUACAAUUAUGUUUAAGACAUACACGAAACGAGUGAACGGAGUGAUCGUUGUCUAUCCUUCGAAAAAGGCACAAUAAAUGUGACCGAAACGUCA